This 600-nucleotide ribosomal RNA is filed under the name uncultured Spirotrichea. Its description in RNAcentral is "eukaryotic LSU rRNA". It matches the Rfam family "Eukaryotic large subunit ribosomal RNA", at positions 27 to 678 of the family's 3401-position model. Lineage: Eukaryota; Ciliophora; Spirotrichea. The record is from RNAcentral.
GCUGAACUUAAGCAUAUCACUAAGCGGAGGAAAAGAAACUAACUAGGAUGGCCCUAGUAAUGGCGAAUGAAGAGGCCAAAGCCCAAGAUGGUAAUCUCUGUUUUUCAAACAGCGAGUUGUAAUCUUGAGAGGCAAAGCUCAACGGGUCGUGGCGCAGAAGUGCCUCUGGAACGGACCGCCAUAGAGGGUGACAGCCCCGUACGUGGUGCCGCGACUUACCCAGCUUGUCUUCGAAGAGUCGGGUUGUUUUGUAUUGCAGCCCUAAGCGGGAGAUAAACUUCUUCUAAGGCUAAAUAUAUGUAGGAAACCGAUAGCGAACAAGUACUGUGAAGGAAAGAUGAAAAGCACUUUGGAAAGAGAGUUAAAAGACCUGAAAUCGUUGAGGCGGAAGGGGUAGAGAAGUAUACUUCGGCACCAAGCGGGGCUAACUUGUUUGGGGUCGUGAGGCCUGAUGGGGUAGUUUUGAUGCAGAGGCUUCGCGGGACCGCCUUCGGGCACCUUCCGUGUUUGUCGGUAUCAAUUCUGCCUGAGGGUGCCUUGUGCGAUCAGGUCAAAAUGGUCUUUACCCACUCGUCUUGAAACACGGACCAAGGAGUCUAA